Molecule: long non-coding RNA, 1008 nt
Filed under: Physcomitrium patens
Lineage: Eukaryota; Viridiplantae; Streptophyta; Bryopsida; Funariales; Funariaceae
Description: long non-coding RNA (PPAT_LNC005265)
Source: RNAcentral
UUAACCAUCGUUGCCCCGGGGUGCCCUUGUGCUUGAGCACGUUACAUCUUUAGGGUUAUCGACAGCCACAGAAUUGGUGCGCUCAACUUGGACAUGCCAUUAGCCUCUGGGUAUGCAUUUUAAUUUUCUUAUGUGACCCACCAUACUACUUUUCUCUGUUUUUCACACUAACGUGCUUUCUUGUCAAUUCAAUUAUAUUGAAUUUUGCAAUUAUUAUUCUUCAACACGACACCAUUGGUAUAAACUGUGUUCGUGGUAACAUUUAAUUUGUAUUAGAACGUAAAAAGAAUGAAAAUCCAGAUAUUUAAAGCCAAUACGUGCUUUUAAGGUCGUUGUUGUUAUUAUCUGUAUUAUUGAUAUCAAUGAAAAAUUAAUCAGAGCAGGAUAAUGAGAAUUUCUCAAUUCAAGCUUUCAACAUAUUAUGAGAUUUUAAAAUUAUGAAAAGUACAAUGCAUCACUAAUUUAACUUGAGAUUUUGUGGUUAUAAUACAUAUUUACACAUUUUUAUCAAAUAAAAACACCAAAGAAAGACUAUGCGUUUGAUGAUUUUUUCAUAAGAUCUCCAUCCAAAAUAAACUUACUAUAUUUUAAAAUUAUAUUAUUAGACUUAAUAAUACUAAACAAGCUUUUCAACUCAAAAAUAUAUACAAAUGUAGAAAUAAGUAUGACACAACUUAAGAUUUUAGUAAAAACUAUUAUGAAAUAAUACAUCUUAUGUUAAACAUGUCCGUCCGGUUGGAGGGGCUCCGUCUCGCUACUAGAUUUCCGGUGCCUUGCAGGAAAUGCCGAACCCCACCCUCAUGGAUCCCGUCGUGAUCUACAAAAAACAUUGAAACAUAAUACACACCCUUACUGCGCUGCGUCUGUUUUCUGAGAAAACUACUUGGAGCUGAUUGAAUUGUGCUAUCCGCCCUUUGAGAUCCCCUCCGAAUGCCAAGAGAGCCUAGCAACCCGUUCGAUGGUACCGAACUAGUAAGGCCUGCAUGUCUCUCCCAACAUUUGGCAGGG